GGUAGCAUGAGACAAGAUUUCUAAGAAUAAGUAAAUGUGCCCUAGCCUAGGUUAUUAUGUCCAUACACAUAACACAUGACAAUCCCCAAGGUACUCUUGACACACCUCAUUCAUGCUUCAGGACAAAAAGGAGUACCCCUAUAAAGGGUGGUUUUACCCACACAUACAUAUAUAUGCAUAUUAAUGCCAUAGGGGUGUCAAGGGGGGUACCAAAUAAUUUUAAGGUAAGAAACUAAGUUUGAAUCUAUUCUCCCAAGCAUUACGGCUAAUAAAAUCUGAAUUGGAAGGGAAGAGGUUUAUACAAUAAACAGGAGACCUUUUUCUUACAGGACAUGUAUGACUCAGCUGAAUGGGUAGGUGCCACGCACAUGACUGUCAAUCCCCUCAAACCACACAUUAGGACUUUAAAAGACAUGGUAGUCAUCCCAUAUUUGAGGAUAAGAGGGCUGUAGAGACAGGUUUCUCUGACACUAACUUGUGACUUGAAUGGAUGAAAUACAAUGCUACUAAACAUAACAAGUCUAACUGCUAUGUCUGCAGAGGAGCGAGGCCUCACCCAGGUACAGUAUCCCUGAACCUUCCUCCGGAUAUGAAGUGUGCGUUUUAAGUCUCUACACUGUAUUUAAACCUAAGCGGUCAGCAUGCGAGUCAUGGAAACUUAAUACCCAAUCAUUACUAAAAAUAUUAACCCAGACGAAGGCAUUACUAUAUAGCCCGGGAACUAUACUUGUUAUGGGAUAUAUGGUGGGAUAGGGCGGUUACAAACUAUCUCUCAGAUGACCUUCCAGAAUAGAAUAAGCUUGGAAAUGAUUUUAGCAGAAAAAGGGAGAGUAUGUAAAAUACUCCCAGACACCAUGACAUGCUGUACCUAUAUUCCAGAUAAUACAGGCCCUAAUGGUAAGGUAACGUUGGCAAUAGAAAAGUUAAAGAGUUUGUCCAAUGAACUGAAACGAAAUUCUGGGGCCACAGAUCCAUGGGAAAGAUGGUUUGGAUGGAUGUCUGAAUGGCAAGGUGCUCUGGCCCAAAUAGGUGUUGCCAUUUUAAUAACGAUAAUCAUCCUCGCUCUUCUUGUUUGUUGUGUGUUACCCUGUCUUAAGAAAUGCCUACAAAAGACAGUUGAUCAGACAAUCGACCAGACCACCCCGACCUUCCUUCACCAAGAGAUUGACGACAUCGACCUUGAUACACCACAUACACCCUUACAGUCCCACCGCACUAAAUCAACAGCUACUUCCUCUUAAGGACAUUUAGGGAUAGCGUCUGUCUCUACGGGCAGAAGUCUGCCGCGGGAGAAGUAGUGGACAAGCUGCUAUGGGGUACCCGCGCAGUGAAGUGUUCGAGGCCUGUUCAGACAGAUGUGCAAGAUAGCCUUUUGUUAUUUUUCUAUAGGGACAGUAUUAGAAUGAGAGAUAGUAGUUUUAGUAAAAAUUGCCAUUUUAAGGGGGGACUGUUAUGGACAGAUGAAUUAAAAUAAAAUGGCUAUUUACUAAUGUCUAUUUAUUCUCUGUUCACUAUGUUAAAACUGGCUUCUAGAGUAAAUGUUCCCUUCCCCCCCCCUACAAUGUGGUCAGCUGCUGUUUACUAUGUAAAUUCCUCACAUCCUGCUAGCCUCCCCUCCCCCACUACCUUUGUGCCAGUUAACAGCUAUAUGCCAUAUAUAGCUAAAUGGAGGAUCAUUGGUUUAGAACUGAUAGAUACCACUCACUCCCCCUUUCUCCGUGUAUCUAAAAGUGUGUAAUGAUGACACUACAUUCUGUAGG
RNAcentral lists this long non-coding RNA (1760 nucleotides) under Pelobates cultripes (western spadefoot toad). Lineage: Eukaryota; Metazoa; Chordata; Amphibia; Anura; Pelobatidae. The record is from RNAcentral.